GACGAACGCUGGCGGCGUGCUUAACACAUGCAAGUCGAACGGUGAUGCUCCAGCUUGCUGGAGUGGAUCAGUGGCGAACGGGUGAGUAACACGUGAGCAACCUGCCCCAGACUCUGGAAUAAGCGUUGGAAACGGCGUCUAAUACUGGAUACGAAACUGGCCCGCAUGGGCAUGGUUUGGAAAGUUCUUCGGUUUGGGAUGGGCUCGCGGCCUAUCAGCUUGUUGGUGAGGUAAUGGCUCACCAAGGCGAAGACGGGUAGCCGGCCUGAGAGGGCGACCGGCCACACUGGGACUGAGACACGGCCCAGACUCCUACGGGAGGCAGCAGUGGGGAAUAUUGCACAAUGGGCGAAAGCCUGAUGCAGCGACGCCGCGUGGGGGAUGACGGCCUUCGGGUUGUAAACCUCUUUCAGCAGGGAAGAAGCGAAAGUGACGGUACCUGCAGAAGAAGCACCGGCUAACUACGUG
RNAcentral lists this ribosomal RNA (468 nucleotides) under uncultured bacterium. RNAcentral describes it as "partial 16S ribosomal RNA". It matches the Rfam family "Bacterial small subunit ribosomal RNA", at positions 28 to 507 of the family's 1533-position model. The record is from RNAcentral.